UUGAACGCUGGCGGCAUGCCUUACACCUGCCAGUCGCACGGCAGCACGGGAGCAAUCCUGGUGGCGAGUGGCGAACGGGUGAGUAAUACAUCGGAACGUGCCCAAUCGUGGGGGAUAACGCAGCGAAAGCUGUGCUAAUACCGCAUACGAUCUACGGAUGAAAGCAGGGGACCGCAAGGCCUUGCGCGAAUGGAGCGGCCGAUGGCAGAUUAGGUAGUUGGUGGGGUAAAGGCUCACCAAGCCAACGAUCUGUAGCUGGUCUGAGAGGACGACCAGCCACACUGGGACUGAGACACGGCCCAGACUCCUACGGGAGGCAGCAGUGGGGAAUUUUGGACAAUGGGCGCAAGCCUGAUCCAGCCAUGCCGCGUGCAGGAUGAAGGCCUUCGGGUUGUAAACUGCUUUUGUACAGAACGAAACGGCCUUUUCUAAUAAAGAGGGCUAAUGACGGUACCGUAAGAAUAAGCACCGGCUAACUACGUG
This 483-nucleotide ribosomal RNA is filed under the name uncultured bacterium. Its description in RNAcentral is "partial 16S ribosomal RNA". It matches the Rfam family "Bacterial small subunit ribosomal RNA", at positions 30 to 507 of the family's 1533-position model. The record is from RNAcentral.